Molecule: long non-coding RNA, 5853 nt
Filed under: Daucus carota (carrot)
Lineage: Eukaryota; Viridiplantae; Streptophyta; Magnoliopsida; Apiales; Apiaceae
Description: long non-coding RNA (DCAR_LNC003553)
Source: RNAcentral
AGAUAGCAAGCCCAACCUAAGUCGUGUGAAAGUCCAGAUCCAGAUACACACAAACACGUCUGCUUACAUUCAUAUCAACUAGCUAGUCCAUUAUUGAGGUCAUGAGGAAUCGAUUCGAGCCGCCAGUGUAAUCCCUAAAUUAAAGCGCUCUCUCUCUCAAGUUUCACCGAUAUUCUCCCUCACCUCUGUUUUUCACAAGCUCAAAUCCCUGAUUUUUUGCAAGCUCGAAGGCUGAAGCUCCCACAAUCUGGUGAAUCAUGAGUUCAUGAUCCCUAAUUUUUGGUAAUUUGAUUCGAUAUUUUGAACUAUAUGUUUUUAUGAUUGAUUUUAUAUAUUUGUAUAUUUGUAUAUGAUUUUAGCCGUUUAUACUUUAUAUCUUAAUAUUCUAUGGCUCUGUGCUCUGUACAUUGUGUAGACGUUGUAUUAUAUUGUUUACUUAUGUGUUUGUAACCGUUGUAAACUUUUUGUUUAUUGGGAAUUGUAAUAUAGCCGUUUUCUUUUUAGCUUAUAAAUAUAUAAUUGAUCUUGGUUUAUUUAAUCCAUUGCAUUUUUACAAAUAUACACAAGUUGCUCUCUGUGUUCAGCUCUACAAUUUCUCCCCUCACUGUUACAUAUAGCUGUUAUUCCUUGUUGUGUUAUAUAUGGCCUCCUCAAGUCAACAAACACCUUCUAUUACCGGUCCUCGUGUGGCUUCGCUAAUCCCAACAGCUUCAUCUUCAUCUUAUACAGUGAUUCCGCAAAAGCACAGAAUCGAUGAUUGGGCUCAUUAUGAUUUAGUACAGCUGUCAGAUCUAGUAGAGAAGGCGAGACAUAGACUUUGCGGAGCUUGUUCACCACUAAAGGAAAUUCAACACUCAAUAAACAUCAUAAGAGGUGCGAGGCUAAACAGAAUCCUGAAUUUUCUCAAGCAAGGAUAGAUGAAACUGGACGUAUAUGGACUUAUGAUCAAAACUUACAAAGGGAGAUGCAAAUGAAGUGUUUCAUAUCUUGAGGAUUGCCAUUCAACCACUUUGAUAAUAAAGAUACAACGAGAUAUAUACAUCAAGGGUUGCAACCAUGUUAUCAAAAGGUCAGCAGAACAACUACUCGUCGUGAUGCAAUUAAAGGGUAUUUAAAGGAAAAAAAAAAGCUCUGAUCAAAUAUUUCAGCCGAUAUGAAGGUAAAGUCAGCCUUACUUCUGAUGUUUGGACUGCUGGUCAGCAUUUAAAUUUAUCUUAUAUAUGCAUUACAUGCCACUGGAUUGAUCACGAAAAAUGGGAAAUGUCAAAACGUAUUUCACGCAAAAAAUCAAAAACUAUAAGUUCAAGUAGUAGAUAAAUUGCACUUCAAUUAGCUAUUUCACGUAAAAAAAUCAAAAACUAUAAGUUCAAGUAGUGAAUUGGCAAAAUAUAAAAUGACUAAUUUCAUAGGUGAGCAAUUAGAUAUACUGGAAUUUUGGAAAAGUCGUUCAUGUCAUUAUCCUAUCAUGGCCGCGAUGGCCCGUGAUAUUCUAACAGUCCAAGCUAGUACAGUAGCUUCGGAAUCUACAUUCUCUUUUAAUGGCAGGGUAUUAAACGAAAGGAGGAGUCAUCUAAAUCCAUAAUCCCUGGAAGUGUGUAUCUAUUAUAAGGACCAUCUUGUUGCAGAAAAAAGAAGGCAAAAUGAUGUUUCCAGUGAAGAAUCUUCAGCAGAAGAAGAUCUUCUCACUGAAACCGAUGGCGACUUAUCCUAUAUAGUUCAUAAUUAGGGACUUUGGUUGUCAAAGUAAGUUACUUUUAUUUAAUGAAGAUUCUGCACUCAUCCAUUAAGUACACUCAUCCUAAACAGAUUAUGCACUCAAAAUUUGCUGUGAUAUUAGUCUUUAAUACUUUCCCUGCAUCAUAACCCCUGGCUGCAGCUUCUGCAGUUGAGUAGGAGCCUAGCCAGAUUCUUGUUUUCUGAUUGGGUGCUUCUUGCCUGCAAUGGUUCCAUCUGAUUCACCUCUAGUCAUCUAUGUUUCCAUUACCAUUGUUAAUAAAUAAAUCUAUGCAUUUUUAUGACGUUUGGUUAUGUGAAAAGGAAUGGAAUAGGAAUGAAACACUUUAGUCGAGAGUAGUAAGGUUCUUGCUUGUAGCAUAUUAUGCUUUCCAGAUUGGUUGCAGUUUUUUAUCAGAUUUAAUAAUACACACUGAACGUGACUAUGUUAUCUUUUCUUUAUCCACCAAAAACAAUUAUUUGCACUUAAAUCAAAGGUAAAAACAAAUCCCAUAGAUUGUGUGUUAGAUAUAAUUGAUGAUUACUAAUGUUCUUAAAGUUUGUUUUAGAACAGGAGUGAUCAGAGUUUAAGCUGGAAGCUGAUCAGAGUUUAAUAAAGUCUGACCAGAGUUUGAUAAAGUCUGAUCAGAGUUUACAUAGUCAAGGCUCGUCAGAGUUUACACGUGGAAAGAGCUCAGAAGCGGAUAUACUUCAAGGAAGGAUAGAAGCGNGUCUAUGUCUAUGUAUAUAUAUUGUAAAAUAAGUUAAAUGAAUGAUACAAAUUUUUUUUUUUUUGUCAUAAAAACGGUUGUAUUAAACCAAAUUGAAAGUUACAAAUCCGGAUGGACAGAGUUUCCUUCGUUCAAGAAGGUAUAUCAUCUAACCAAAAGUAUGUAAAUACUCCGGACGCUUAGAUAACAUAGCCUUUCAAGUCAGAAGAGAUAACCCACAAAAAAAGGGACUCGUUAAAACCCCUCAAGAGUAAAACCCUAUGGGAAAAAACUCAAGGAGGAAAAAGAGUGCCCUACAAAAAUUACAUCGAUUAUAAAACAGACUAAAAAUAGAUGUCUUCUUUAAUAAAACACCCAUGAGAGGUCCCGCUAUCAAUAUUUUUCCACUUGCGUACCCUGAAAAAAUACAAUACAAAAAAGAAAAUAAUAAGUUCAUACAGAAAAUAAAACUAUCUAAAGCAACAGAGAAAAAGAAUCAACAAACUCGUAAUUAAAAUAUAAUAUAAAUAUUAAAGAAUAAGGAAAGUAAAAUAAAACUAAUUUUAAAUAAAUCUUUAAAAAUCUACACCAAAGAGAUAGUGAGAUCUCUUUGGUUAGAUACCUAAUAAAAUAAUACAUAAUAGAAUUUAAAUCUCGACAGAUAAAAUCAAAAAAUAUUAAAAUUUUAAUAAGAAAGUAUAAUUAUAAACUGAAAACAUAUAUAACCAUAUCUAUUUGAAUAUAAGACAAAAUUUUGGCAAACAAAUGUAUCCUGAUAAAUCAUAUAAAAUACUAACUAAAAAUGGAUAACAAAAAAGAAAGGAGGAAUAAAUUGAGAUAAAUCAGCAUUAAAACCACGAUUUGUUACCCAAUACAUCAAAUAACAAUCAAUUUUUAUAAAACUGAAGCAUAAAUCAUGCACAAUAUAAGUCAAAAAUAUUUUUCGGUCAAUCUUGAAUACAACAUGCAUUAAAGAGUAAUUAAAAUUAAUAAAGCUAAAACGUAAAUCAAGCCUAAAUAUUAUACAAAGAUAUCAUGAGUUACCACCAUCGAGUUACCACCACCGCUGACCGCCAUGAACCAUCGUGGACUAGGUUUUGGAGAAGAAAAAUAUAAUUUGGUAUUCACCAACAUAUAAUUUGGUAUUCACCAAUAGCCAUAGAGGUACAAAACCACAAAGGGUACAUCAAACCAUAUCAAGGGCCCCAUGAAUAUAAUUCAGGUACAUAACAUCGAAAUUGAUCAAGAAACUAACAUAACAAAUUGCAUAUAACUGUAAUACUUGUUUAAGGACGGGAUAGCCAAAAGAAGUCUGAACAAUGAAACGAAAUUGAGAUUUCCAUCAACCCCUGUAAUACCUGUUUAAUCGGGUCAGAACAAAAAUUAGUUGACAGAGAAAAAAGAAGAUCACCUGGUAUAACUCCAAGGGAUUGAAGGGUUUGUUGACGAGAUUCACCGGGUACAUAACAGAGAAAAGUGUUUGUUAUAUUCACUCUUUCUAAUACGGAUGGAUGGAUGACUGUGGUUUGUCAUUUACUCUAAUCUAAAUAACAUAAACCUAUAUAAUGAAUGAUACAAUUUGUUUAGUUACUUAUCAUUAUUUUACAUGAUAAAUAAUGAGAGUGUUAUUUAUUCGGACAAAAUGUAUUUAUAUAAUAUACAAUGUUAUUUUGAAUUCUAUAAAACAUAAUAAUAUACUUAUAUAUGAUCAUAUUUGUAAUAUAUAUCUUUGACUAAUCUAUAUGAAAUACGGUAUUUAUUUAUUUGUUUAUAUUUUUAGGAAACUAUUGUGAUGACACCACUUAUAAACUAGUUAUUUUUCAAAGGGAGAAAUAAUAUUUUGAGAUAAAUUCUUUUUUCAAAAAGUCGAUAGAAAAAGGUGAGGAGUAAUGUAUAAUUAUCUCGAAGAAAACAACCAUUUUUGUCCCACACUCUUUUGAAAAAUUUUGGGCAAAGAACGUCUUGGCUUCUAAUUUACCACAAGAUGUCCUCGAUCUUACCAAAAACAACAACAACAAAGUACAAAUUUCACCGGGUUUUAAAGAUACAGAGUCUCCGAAGCCAUGCCGAUAAUGGGACAGCUUGGUGUUUGAUUGCAUUUUCUUUCAUAUCCCAUAUACCGUAUAAAAUUUAAUGUAAAAAUUUAUGCGGAGGAAGGCUACGUAUCAAAAUUCUGUUAUCAAAUUUUUUGUUUUCCAAAUAACAUGACAUAUAUAUAACUAAUUUUAAUUGAGUGAUUGAUGUGUAUACGGAUCUCAUUAUUAUUAUUGACAGUAAAACCCAUAUGCUAAUUAGCUCGACAGAGAUGUAGCUUCUAGUUUUUAGAUGCAUUUAUUCAAAUAUGCAAGACUGGUCAAUAUUGAGAUCUCUACCUCAGAUCACAGUACUAUUUUGCUUGAGCCUAUAGUUACAACAAAUUUGCCAAGAGUUCGGAAACUAAAGUUUAAAAAACGCUUGGCUAAGGGAGCCGGUCCUCAAGCUAAUUGUGGAAGACUCGUGGAAUAAAAAUCAAAGUGAAUGUUUGCCAAUAAAAUUGCAGAGAUGCAUCGAAGAAGUGUCAGCACGGGGUCAAUAUUUUAUUGGAAAUUUUAGAAAGAGGGUCAAAAAGUGCAAGAAGGUCAUAAAAACCACAAGAGGUCGCAGGGAUAGGGAUGAAAUCCAAAGAAAUCAACAUGCAACCAAGGAACUGGCAGAAAUCCUCACUCAACAAGAAAUUUUUCGGAAACAAAGAUCGAAACAAUUGUGGUUAAGGGUGGAGAAUAAAAAUAGUAAAUUUUUUCAUGCCAUGGCUCGAGCUAGAUGAAGGAACAAUCAGAUAAAGUUUCUCCUUAAUGAGAGAGGCGAAUAGGUGGACUGGGAGGGAGGACUAGAGAUGUCCAAAAAAUCCAAAAUCCGAUCCGGAAAAAAAUAUGAUAAAUCCGAUCUAAAAACCCGAUCCGGUCUGGAGAUUUUAAACAUACCUACUAUUUUUUAACUAAAUCUGGCCCGGCCCGAAAUCUGAAAAAUCCGGAUUUAAACCCGGAUUUUAAAAAACCCGAAUAAAACCCGAUUUUAGAAAAACCCGGAUAAACCCAGAUAUAAAACUAUUAUUCGUAUAAUUUAUAAACAUAAAAAUUAUGUAUAACCCAAGUAUCCAACCCAAUCAAAGAUAGCAAGCCCAACCUAAGUCGUGUGAAAGUCCAGAUCCAGAUACACACAAACACGUCUGCUUACAUUCAUAUCAACUAGCUAGUCCAUUAUUGAGGUCAUGAGGAAUCGAUUCGAGCCGCCAGUGUAAUCCCUAAAUUAAAGCGCUCUCUCUCUCAAGUUUCACCGAUAUUCUCCCUCACCUCUGUUUUUCACAAGCUCAAAUCCCUGAUUUUUUGCAAGCUCGAAGGCUGAAGCUCCCACAAUCUGGUGAAUCAUGAGUUCAUGAUCCCUAAUUUUUGGU